This 253-nucleotide ribosomal RNA is filed under the name uncultured bacterium. Its description in RNAcentral is "partial 16S ribosomal RNA". It matches the Rfam family "Bacterial small subunit ribosomal RNA", at positions 524 to 776 of the family's 1533-position model. The record is from RNAcentral.
UACGUAGGUGGCAAGCGUUGUCCGGAUUUAUUGGGUUUAAAGGGUGCGUAGGCGGUUUGAUAAGUCAGUGGUGAAAUACGAUAGCUUAACUAUCGAGGUGCCAUUGAUACUGUUGAACUUGAGUACAGACGAGGUAUGCGGAAUUGACGGUGUAGCGGUGAAAUGCUUAGAUAUCGUCAAGAACACCGAUAGCGAAGGCAGCAUACCAGACUGAAACUGACGCUGAGGCACGAAAGUGUGGGGAUCAAACAGG